Molecule: ribosomal RNA, 253 nt
Filed under: uncultured bacterium
Lineage: Bacteria
Description: partial 16S ribosomal RNA
Rfam family: Bacterial small subunit ribosomal RNA
Source: RNAcentral
UACGGAGGGGGCUAGCGUUGUUCGGAAUUACUGGGCGUAAAGCGCACGUAGGCGGCUUUGCAAGUUAGAGGUGAAAGCCCGGGGCUCAACUCCGGAAUUGCCUUUAAAACUGCAUCGCUAGAGUUGUGGAGAGGUAAGUGGAAUUCCGAGUGUAGAGGUGAAAUUCGUAGAUAUUCGGAAGAACACCAGUGGCGAAGGCGACUUACUGGACACAUAUUGACGCUGAGGUGCGAAAGCGUGGGGAGCAAACAGG